AUUUAAAUAGUUUAGUUAAAAUGUUGACUUGUGGGGUCAGAGACAUACUUUUGUAUUUUAAAUA
Molecule: transfer RNA, 64 nt
Filed under: Meloe poggii
Lineage: Eukaryota; Metazoa; Arthropoda; Insecta; Coleoptera; Meloidae
Description: tRNA-His
Source: RNAcentral